This 77-nucleotide transfer RNA is filed under the name Ammonifex sp. RNAcentral describes it as "tRNA-Ser". It matches the Rfam family "tRNA". From Rfam's summary of the family: Transfer RNA (tRNA) molecules are approximately 80 nucleotides in length. Their secondary structure includes four short double-helical elements and three loops (D, anti-codon, and T loops). The record is from RNAcentral. Lineage: Bacteria; Bacillati; Bacillota; Clostridia; Thermoanaerobacterales; Thermoanaerobacteraceae.
GCCCCCGUAGCCAAGCGGAUUAAGGCACGCACCUGCUAAGUGCCUGAUCGUAGGUUCGAAUCCUACCGGGGGCGCCA